AACGAACGCUGGCGGCAUGCCUAACACAUGCAAGUCGAACGCCCUCUUCGGAGGGAGUGGCGCACGGGUGCGUAACGCGUGGGAACCUGCCCUUAGGUUCGGAAUAACUCAGAGAAAUUUGAGCUAAUACCGGAUAAUGUCUUCGGACCAAAGAUUUAUCGCCUUUGGAUGGGCCCGCGUUGGAUUAGCUAGUUGGUGGGGUAAAGGCCUACCAAGGCGACGAUCCAUAGCUGGUCUGAGAGGAUGAUCAGCCACACUGGGACUGAGACACGGCCCAGACUCCUACGGGAGGCAGCAGUGGGGAAUAUUGGACAAUGGGCGAAAGCCUGAUCCAGCAAUGCCGCGUGAGUGAUGAAGGCCCUAGGGUUGUAAAGCUCUUUUACCAGGGAUGAUAAUGACAGUACCUGGAGAAUAAGCUCCGGCUAACUCCGUGCCAGCAGCCGCGGUAAU
RNAcentral lists this ribosomal RNA (450 nucleotides) under uncultured bacterium. RNAcentral describes it as "bacterial SSU rRNA". It matches the Rfam family "Bacterial small subunit ribosomal RNA", at positions 29 to 524 of the family's 1533-position model. The record is from RNAcentral.